This 704-nucleotide ribosomal RNA is filed under the name Halobacterium sp. PeD2. RNAcentral's name for it is "bacterial SSU rRNA". It matches the Rfam family "Archaeal small subunit ribosomal RNA", at positions 52 to 755 of the family's 1478-position model. Lineage: Archaea; Methanobacteriati; Methanobacteriota; Halobacteria; Halobacteriales; Halobacteriaceae. The record is from RNAcentral.
UGCUAGUUGUGCGGGUUUAGACCCGCAGCGCGAGAGCUCAGUAACACGUGGCCAAACUACCCUGUGGAUGGGAACAAUCUCGGGAAACUGAGGCUAAUUCCCAAUAACGCUCCACCCCUGGAACGGGCGGAGCUGGAAACGCUACGGCGCCACAGGAUGUGGCUGCGGAUCGAUUAGGUAGACGGUGGGGUAACGGCCCACCGUGCCAAUAAUCGGUACGGGUUGUGAGAGCAAGAGCCCGGAGACGGAAUCUGAGACAAGAUUCCGGGCCCUACGGGGCGCAGCAGGCGCGAAACCUUUACACUGUACGCAAGUGCGAUAAGGGGACUCCGAGUGUGAAGGCAUAGAGCCUUCACUUUUGUACACCGUAAGGUGGUGUACGAAUAAGGGCUGGGCAAGACCGGUGCCAGCCGCCGCGGUAAUACCGGCAGCCCGAGUGAUGGCCGAUAUUAUUGGGCCUAAAGCGACCGUAGCUGGUCGGACAAGUCCGUUGGGAAAUCUGUUCGCUUAACGAGCAGGCGUCCAGCGGAAACUGUUCUGCUUGAGACCGGAAGACCUGAGGGGUACGUCCGGGGUAGGAGUGAAAUCCUGUAAUCCUGGACGGACCACCGGUGGCGAACGCGCCUCACGAGUACGGAUCCUACUGUGAGCGACGACUGCUAGGGUCUCUAACCGGAUUAGAUACCCGGGUAGUCCUAGCUGUA